RNAcentral lists this ribosomal RNA (1402 nucleotides) under Klebsiella pneumoniae. RNAcentral's name for it is "bacterial SSU rRNA". It matches the Rfam family "Bacterial small subunit ribosomal RNA". Lineage: Bacteria; Pseudomonadati; Pseudomonadota; Gammaproteobacteria; Enterobacterales; Enterobacteriaceae. The record is from RNAcentral.
CAUGCAGUCGAGCGGUAGCACAGAGAGCUUGCUCUCGGGUGACGAGCGGCGGACGGGUGAGUAAUGUCUGGGAAACUGCCUGAUGGAGGGGGAUAACUACUGGAAACGGUAGCUAAUACCGCAUAACGUCGCAAGACCAAAGUGGGGGACCUUCGGGCCUCAUGCCAUCAGAUGUGCCCAGAUGGGAUUAGCUAGUAGGUGGGGUAACGGCUCACCUAGGCGACGAUCCCUAGCUGGUCUGAGAGGAUGACCAGCCACACUGGAACUGAGACACGGUCCAGACUCCUACGGGAGGCAGCAGUGGGGAAUAUUGCACAAUGGGCGCAAGCCUGAUGCAGCCAUGCCGCGUGUGUGAAGAAGGCCUUCGGGUUGUAAAGCACUUUCAGCGGGGAGGAAGGCGUUAAGGUUAAUAACCUUGUCGAUUGACGUUACCCGCAGAAGAAGCACCGGCUAACUCCGUGCCAGCAGCCGCGGUAAUACGGAGGGUGCAAGCGUUAAUCGGAAUUACUGGGCGUAAAGCGCACGCAGGCGGUCUGUCAAGUCGGAUGUGAAAUCCCCGGGCUCAACCUGGGAACUGCAUUCGAAACUGGCAGGCUAGAGUCUUGUAGAGGGGGGUAGAAUUCCAGGUGUAGCGGUGAAAUGCGUAGAGAUCUGGAGGAAUACCGGUGGCGAAGGCGGCCCCCUGGACAAAGACUGACGCUCAGGUGCGAAAGCGUGGGGAGCAAACAGGAUUAGAUACCCUGGUAGUCCACGCCGUAAACGAUGUCGAUUUGGAGGUUGUGCCCUUGAGGCGUGGCUUCCGGAGCUAACGCGUUAAAUCGACCGCCUGGGGAGUACGGCCGCAAGGUUAAAACUCAAAUGAAUUGACGGGGGCCCGCACAAGCGGUGGAGCAUGUGGUUUAAUUCGAUGCAACGCGAAGAACCUUACCUGGUCUUGACAUCCACAGAACUUUCCAGAGAUGGAUUGGUGCCUUCGGGAACUGUGAGACAGGUGCUGCAUGGCUGUCGUCAGCUCGUGUUGUGAAAUGUUGGGUUAAGUCCCGCAACGAGCGCAACCCUUAUCCUUUGUUGCCAGCGGUUCGGCCGGGAACUCAAAGGAGACUGCCAGUGAUAAACUGGAGGAAGGUGGGGAUGACGUCAAGUCAUCAUGGCCCUUACGACCAGGGCUACACACGUGCUACAAUGGCAUAUACAAAGAGAAGCGACCUCGCGAGAGCAAGCGGACCUCAUAAAGUAUGUCGUAGUCCGGAUUGGAGUCUGCAACUCGACUCCAUGAAGUCGGAAUCGCUAGUAAUCGUAGAUCAGAAUGCUACGGUGAAUACGUUCCCGGGCCUUGUACACACCGCCCGUCACACCAUGGGAGUGGGUUGCAAAAGAAGUAGGUAGCUUAACCUUCGGGAGG